GCGCUUUACAGUGUUUGAACUCGUCCGUACGAUUCAUCAUUCGCAUUCGCGAGUCGGCUUUUUCUCUAUGCAGAUCGCGUUUAUAGUAAAUAUAUAUAUAUAUAAAAUAAUUUAUUUUGAUUUUUCGAACCAUCUUAAGUGUCUUGUAGGCUUAUGAUAAAUUAGUACUUAGACUACAGAAAAAAAAAAAAAAAAAACAUCAAAGAAAUGAAAAAUGUGCUCCUGAAUGUGUGAUACGUUGAUUUCUGUACCAGUAAUAACCAAGGAUAAUACGGAAACGGGAUUAUCUUAACCACUCGGUUCGCUGGAACCGUUCUCAUCGAUCGAACAAGAUAGAUCAGUUUAAUACUGAUAACCGAAACCGAGAUGUUAGAUUUACGAUAUCGAAAAUGGUAUGUUUCACGUGACGUGAUAACUGACAAGGUUAAUCGAGAAUACAAUUAAAUUUCCAAAACAGAUGUCGACAACAAUCGCUUGUAUUAUUCGACAUCUGAACGUUUUGUCUAUAGUUUCCGCAAUCUACAACAUCGUCACGGAAAUCGUUUAAUCUCGAUAACCAUGCAAACGCCUGAAAAUUAGUUGUAUUUCAAAAACGGGUAACAAUAAUUGUACUCGAUUAUAAAAUUUAAUAUAUUUUCUUCGACGAGUUAAUCGAAACGAAAUUCGGAAACAGUAAAUUAACAACAACGUGUAACCGAUAUUAUACUCCGAUGUAAUGUAAGAUACAGAUUGGCGUGCUCAGGAUGAGACGUCCGCUAUAGAAAGUCUGUCGAAACAACUGCGCGAAAUCGAAAGGGGCAAUCCGGCGAAACGCGUCGUAUACGAAUUCAGGUCAUGUGGCGAUAAUACCUUUCCGACGGCCCACGAAUAUCGGACUCAGGUCGGCCGUAGCGAUGUGCAGCUGUUAUUGCGGUUGCGGGACACAUUGAAACCCAGUUUCCUUUUAAAAAUCAUUAGAGCCACUUCGAUGUACUAUCGUGUUAAUCGUAAUAAAUAAUCGGAACAUUUUUAUUUGAAAAAAAUGUGUACUCAUUGCGCUAUAUUAACGUAUUUUUUAAACAGUUAUUAUUUUGACGAGUUUUUUUAUAAAUUUUAACUAGUCCAUCGUAAGAAGGUCGGGUAGAACAACAAACCACGUUUUUUGAUGUAAUUGAACCGGAUUAAACAAUCGCGUCGUUUUAACGGGAAUUAUGAAUAAUUUAAAUUGUCAAUAUACCCCCUUCUCAAUCAUACCCUGGGAUACGCCGCUGUCACGAUGCUAUUAUCGAUCCGACUUUCGAUCGAUUGGCGAUAGAUGCGCGCACCACCAUGACCUCUUGACAGCAAAAGAAUUGAUCGAAAUAAGACGUUCAGCUCGGCGGUGACUGAUGGUGGUGGUACUCGGGUCCGAUGUGGCGAUGGUUUUCGCAGGAUUUGGUUGGUUUUGGCGGUCAAAGGUAUUGGAGUUCAUCGAGGAUGACAAUAUCGAUAAAUUACAUUCUAUUAUGUGUACGAAUUAAAUUCAACGCGCGUCACGGUCCACGAAGGGUUAUUUAUAGAUCCCGUGAGUCCUCACCAAACGUUCGCUUGCACAUUUAUAUUAUGAAUUAUUUAUUUAUCACAUAGAAAAGUCACACAUCCGUGCUUCUAUGUCAGGUUCACGUGUGAUAUUGAUUGUUUUGUUAUUAUUUUAUAAUUUUCCACGGAAAUCGACCGGAAUGUCAACCGGACCGAAUAUUUAUAAGUGUUAAAUCAUGUCAAUGUUAUAAAACUAUUUUCGUGUUUUAUAAUUAAAUGUGUCUUUACGU
Molecule: long non-coding RNA, 1787 nt
Organism: Sipha flava (yellow sugarcane aphid)
Lineage: Eukaryota; Metazoa; Arthropoda; Insecta; Hemiptera; Aphididae
Exons: 2
Source: RefSeq, a predicted model, not a curated record